AACACAUGCAAGUCGAGGGCAGCAUGGUCUAGCUGCUAAGACCGAUGGCGACCGGCGCACGGGUGAGUAACGCGUAUCCAACCUCCCCCACAGUAGCGGAUAGCCCGGCGAAAGUCGGAGUUAAUACGCUAUGAGGUGCAGUAUUGGCAUCAUGGCCGCACGAAAGAUUUAUCGCUGUGGGAUGGGGAUGCGUCUGAUUAGCUUGUCGCGGGGUAACGGCCCACCGAGGCGACGAUCAGUAGGGGUUCUGAGAGGAAGGUCCCCCACAUUGGUACUGAGACACGGACCAAACUCCUACGGGAGGCAGCAGUGAGGAAUAUUGGUCAAUGGCCGGAAGGCUGAACCAGACCCAAGUAGCGUGCAGGACGACGGCCCUACGGGUUGUAAACUGCUUUUAGUAGGGGAAUAAAGUGUGGUACGUGUACCUUUUUGUAGGUACCGCAUGAAUAAGGACCGGCUAAUUCCGUGCCAGCCGCCGC
This 479-nucleotide ribosomal RNA is filed under the name uncultured bacterium. RNAcentral describes it as "bacterial SSU rRNA". It matches the Rfam family "Bacterial small subunit ribosomal RNA", at positions 50 to 518 of the family's 1533-position model. The record is from RNAcentral.